GGGCCCGCACAAGUAGUGGAGCAUGUGGUUUAAUUCGAAGAUACGCGCAGAACCUUACCAACACUUGACAUGUUCGUCGCGACUUUAAGAGAUUAGAGUUUUUCGGUUCGGCCGGACGAAACACAGGUGCUGCAUGGCUGUCGUCAGCUCGUGUUGUGAAAUGUUGGUUAAGUCCCGCAACGAGCGCAACCCUUAUCCUUGUUUGCCAGCACGUAAUGGUGGGAACUCCAGGGAGACUGCCGGUGAUAAACCGGAGGAAGGUGGGGACGACGUCAAGUCAUCAUGGCCCUUACGAGUAGGGCUACACACGUGCUACAAUGGCAUAUACAGAGGGCAGCGAGACCGCGAGGUGGGAGCG
This 358-nucleotide ribosomal RNA is filed under the name uncultured bacterium. Its description in RNAcentral is "bacterial SSU rRNA". It matches the Rfam family "Bacterial small subunit ribosomal RNA", at positions 917 to 1269 of the family's 1533-position model. The record is from RNAcentral.